UGUGGGAAGUAUCACCAUCUUCGCUAACUCCCCGACGAAUAGGCGAUCCUGAAGCACCUGAUCGGUCAUCUUGAAGUGCAUCCCAAUCACUAUGGUCGGCUCUCCUGAAGGCAGGUCCAGAUUGUAGUCCGCGAUAAAGCUGGGGGAGAUCGGUGUCUUACCCUUGUUGGCAGCUUCUUGACUAGUUGCCCGACUCCCUCCGGACCUAACUG
This 212-nucleotide long non-coding RNA is filed under the name Elaeis guineensis (African oil palm). Its description in RNAcentral is "long non-coding RNA (EGUI_LNC019240)". The record is from RNAcentral. Lineage: Eukaryota; Viridiplantae; Streptophyta; Magnoliopsida; Arecales; Arecaceae.